AUCUAAGGUCAUAUCGCCCUGAAUGCACCCAAUCUUGUCUGAUCUCAGAAGCUAAGUAGUGUCAGUCCUGGUUAGUACUUAGCUGGAAGACAGAUCUUCGGAAGAGACUGCUCAGAGACAAGCAAUUUGGAGA
This 133-nucleotide ribosomal RNA is filed under the name Castor canadensis (American beaver). Lineage: Eukaryota; Metazoa; Chordata; Mammalia; Rodentia; Castoridae. The record is from RNAcentral.